This 88-nucleotide non-coding RNA is filed under the name Bacillus sp. CECT 9360. RNAcentral's name for it is "c-di-GMP-I". It matches the Rfam family "c-di-GMP-I riboswitch aptamer". Rfam says of the family: GEMM was predicted in a large-scale screen for bacterial structured RNA regulatory elements. Genes associated with GEMM are involved in a diverse array of functions, including chemotaxis regulation, signal transduction, secretion and chitin. The record is from RNAcentral. Lineage: Bacteria; Bacillati; Bacillota; Bacilli; Caryophanales; Bacillaceae.
ACAUCGAAAAGGCAAAGCUAUGGAAACAUAGUUGCGCAAAGCUACAGGGGCUAAAGUGGUUAAUCGACUAGGCCAGCCAGCUACCGAA